UGAUACUGCAUUACUUUUCUUUUGUUUCAAUUUAGAUUAAAUUAUUAAAAUCAUAGUUUAUUUGCAGGCUACUAAUGUUGAACCGGGAAAUGAAUUGGGAAAACCUGUGGAUAUUAACAAUGCUGAAGAUCACAUCUUUGGACUUGUUCUGCUCAAUGACUGGAGUGCUCGAGAUAUUCAGGCAUAGGGAUAUAUUUCUCUUGGUCCAUUUCUUGGCACAACAAUAUCACCUUGGAUUGUGACCAUGGAAGCAUUAGAACCUUUUGCUAGAGAAACCCCAAAACAGGAAAAUGAUUAUUCUAUUGGGUUUGAUACUGCUCGGGCAAGAUUGUACCUGUAGCUCCCUGAGGUUGGUUUGAAUUAAUGAAACUUUGAUGUGAAAAUACUUAGCAAAAAUAUUUAAUCAUUUGAGAAAAUAUUGUAUUUAAAUUGGUGUAAUGAAACUACACAUACAUAUAUUUGAUUCUAAUAUAUU
Molecule: long non-coding RNA, 475 nt
Organism: Glycine soja
Lineage: Eukaryota; Viridiplantae; Streptophyta; Magnoliopsida; Fabales; Fabaceae
Exons: 4
Source: RefSeq, a predicted model, not a curated record